UGCCCAGCAACUCCUAUCCCUACCUCCUCGUGGUACCGGUCGGGGUAGCGAAGAUCGGGAAACUAACCCCGAUGAGAACUCUGGUCGUAUGCUGGCAGGGCAGG
RNAcentral lists this ribozyme (104 nucleotides) under Aedes aegypti (yellow fever mosquito). RNAcentral describes it as "drz-agam-1 ribozyme". It matches the Rfam family "drz-agam-1 ribozyme". Lineage: Eukaryota; Metazoa; Arthropoda; Insecta; Diptera; Culicidae. The record is from Rfam by way of RNAcentral.